Struthio camelus australis is the source of this 1735-nucleotide long non-coding RNA. The record is from Ensembl. Lineage: Eukaryota; Metazoa; Chordata; Aves; Struthioniformes; Struthionidae.
GGCCGCGUGUGGGACGGCUCGCGUUUUGCGGCCUGGGAGCCGCCGCUUGGCCUGGCGGGGUUGGGGCGCAGGGACUGGCUACUUGCCCCUGUUUGUAGAAGUCGCUGCCUGUACUUUCUGUCAGCCAAGUCGUGACUUUCCUGUCACGAAAACUUCAUUAGUUAUUUCGGCACCCUCCUAUCUUCGCUUGUACAUAUUAGCCAGCUCUUUACUGAUCUCGGUGUUUAUCCAAUUAGUUGUGACAUACAGAUCCUUUCUCCUGCACCGUCUUGUUUACAAACCUAAUUUAAACACAGUGCUUGUUAAAACAGGCCUUCGCAGACUAGGACAGAAAGAUUUGAAAUAGAUUUUGUGAGCAACAAACUGCUAUUACCGAACAGUUUUCAGAGAGACCAAAUUCUCACUAAGUUAUUUUUGCUGGAAUUCACUGUGGGGAUUCACUGUGCUGGAUCUAGCUUGAGCGUGUGCUGCAUCGCUGGUGGUCUUCUGUCUUCAAGAGCUUAAAGUCAGAGCUGCUGCUGCUGGUCUAAGUCGUCGCAAAUGCAGUGUCUCCAGAUGAAUGCAAAGAUUGCGUUCCACCACCUCCGCUGGCGCAUCGGUAGUGUUUUAGACUGUUUCUGCUGGAAACACCUGCCCCGUCAUCUUGCUGUGACUUCAGAUACAGGAUGAUACGUACGUUUUUAAUGGAAGUAAGCGGCAGACCGCGACUUUCUUACUCGGUCUUUGCUAUGACCAGGCAGAUGCUGCGGGCGGUGCAGUAGCUGGAGGGAGGAGAGCUGGCGCGCUCGCUCGGGGACGGGCGCUGAGGCUGGACGCUUGCCUCUGGAGCCUAAUGCUUUUUGCACUGGUGUGACAACAAGAGCUGUGCAGAGAAACUGAUGAAGGCUGGCCUUGAAGAUGCAAGUUGAAUCUUUGGUCCUGAGGAUGCUUGUCUUGGACAACCUGGUGCAGUCCAAAGACCCUGAGCCGGCUUCACCGAGAUGCUUCAGGAUGCUGAGGUGCUCCAUUGCUCUGUGGCGUUCAGGAGCUUCACUCACCAGCUCAGUUUUCACGGGCCUGUUAAAUGCCUGAGACCUGAUUAAGGGGCAAAACAUGAACUCGAGACUCCUCAUAAGAUUUCAGCUCCAGGAUAGAGCAGAUAUCAUACAAAAAAGCUAGUAAUGGGGCAGAGUCUGGAGAGCAAGAUUAUCUCCCUGAGCCUGAUGAAGACUAGGAGCAGUAGCAGGAAAAAUAUGGUGAGUCCCAGCUAAGCCUGAGCGCUGCUGUCGUGCUCCUGACCGCAGAGCUGCUCCCAGGACGGGGUCUUCCCUUAAGCCCGCCCGGCGGCCAGCUCCCGGCCAGGACUUCGCUUGGGCACGAGUGCAGAUUUUCACUUCUCCAGGUGUUGUUUGUGGAUUAAGUCACACAAGCAUAAAAACAAGCAAAUCUCUUAAAACUAAAUAGCCGCUACCACUUAAAAAAGUUCUUCAGGCAUUAAUAGAAACGGCCGAACCCGUUGUGCUGCGAUUUCCCGUUGUCAGGGCAGAGGAUGGAGCGGGUGGGAGUCGGGCGGGGGGAGCUUAGCGGGAGCAGCAACUGCUGCGGUCCUCGGCGCAGCGCCUGCGUGACAGCGGAUUGUGACAGAUGCUGAGAAAUCUGAAAGCUCGUAUUUUAAUGUGGUACUAAAUUCACGGAGACACGUCUGCAAAGCAAAAAAAAUGAGAGGCCACUUACUGAGCCAGUCUAAAUGUACUGA